Molecule: ribosomal RNA, 23 nt
Filed under: Drosophila madeirensis
Lineage: Eukaryota; Metazoa; Arthropoda; Insecta; Diptera; Drosophilidae
Description: partial small ribosomal RNA
Source: RNAcentral
UAAAAGUUUUAUUUUGGCUUAAA